UGGGGAAUAUUGGGCAAUGGGCGAAAGCCUUACCCAGCAACGCCGCGUGAGGGAAGAAGGUUUUCGGAUUGUAAACCUCUGUCCUGGGGGACGAAGGAAGUGACGGUACCCCGGGAGGAAGCCCCGGCUAACUACGUGCCAGCAGCCGCGGUAAUACGUAGGGGGCGAGCGUUGUCCGGAAUUAUUGGGCGUAAAGGGCGCGUAGACGGCCGAGUAAGUUAUAGGUGAAAGCCCAUCUUUCAAGGAUGGAAUUGCCUGUAAUACUGCCUGGCUUGAGUGCAGGAGAGGGAAGCGGAAUUCCUAGUGUAGCGGUGAAAUGCGUAGAUAUUAGGAGGAACACCAGUGGCGAAGGCGGCUUUCUGGACUGUAACUGACGUUGAGGCGCGAAAGCGUGGGGAGCAAACAGGAUUAGAUACC
This 417-nucleotide ribosomal RNA is filed under the name uncultured bacterium. RNAcentral's name for it is "bacterial SSU rRNA". It matches the Rfam family "Bacterial small subunit ribosomal RNA", at positions 355 to 786 of the family's 1533-position model. The record is from RNAcentral.